AAAAAAAAAAAAAGAAAAGAUAUUUCAUCUGUCAAAAAGUACAAAAAAACUUUCAAGUCGAGCCUAUAAUUUUAUAUAGGAUAAUGAAAUGAUAAGUAUUAUAUAUAUAUAAUUAUUUGUGUUAACAUGUAAUUGAUUGGCGACCGUCCCAUUGCACGGUUGUCGACUCGCAAUGUCGCAUUGAAAAUUGCUCCUCUCCAGAACUAGCAUGGCUUAAUUUUUCCUCCUCAUUUUCAUGCAAAUUUGCCUCAUUUUUCAAUACUUUUUUUUUCAGUAUUUUUCUGUUAAUCCUGAUUCAAUUUUAAAUUUGAAAAAAAUAUAUAUAUUUUAAUUUUUUCUUUUUACUA
Molecule: unclassified non-coding RNA, 347 nt
Filed under: Hevea brasiliensis (rubber tree)
Lineage: Eukaryota; Viridiplantae; Streptophyta; Magnoliopsida; Malpighiales; Euphorbiaceae
Source: RNAcentral